AUGCAAGUCGUACGAGGGUUUUUAACUUUAGUGGCGGACGGGUGAGUAAUAUGUGAGAAUUUGCCUUUAGGAGGGGGAUAACAAUCGGAAACGAAUGCUAAUACCCCAUAUGCUUUUGAGUGAAAUGGAUUUAUCCGCCUAAAGAGAAGCUCGCGGCUGAUUAGCUUGUUGGUAAGGUAAGAGCUUACCAAGGCGACGAUCAGUAUCUGGUUUGAGAGGACGAUCAGACACACUGGAACUGAGACACGGUCCAGACUCCUACGGGAGGCAGCAGUGGGGAAUUUUCCGCAAUGGGCGAAAGCCUGACGGAGCAAUACCGCGUGAGGGAAGACUGCCUAUGGGUUGUAAACCUCUUUUUUCAGGGAGGAAUAAAUUGACGUGUACCUGAAGAAUAAGCAUCGGCUAACUCCGUGCCAGCAGCCGCGGUAAGACGGAGGAUGCAAGUGUUAUCCGGAAUCACUGGGCGUAAAGCGUCUGUAGGUGGUUUAAUAAGUCAACUGUUAAAUCUUGAGGCUCAACUUCAAAAUCGCGGUCGAAACUAUUAGACUAGAGUAUAGUAGAGGUAAAGGGAAUUUCCAGUGGAGCGGUGAAAUGCGUAGAUAUUGGAAAGAACACCAAUGGCGAAAGCACUUUACUGGGCUAUUACUAACACUCAGAGACGAAAGCUAGGGUAGCAAAUGGGAUUAGAUACCCCAGUAGUCCUAGCCGUAAACUAUGGAUACUAGAUGUUGAACAGAUCGACCUGUGCAGUAUCAAAG
RNAcentral lists this ribosomal RNA (758 nucleotides) under uncultured cyanobacterium. Its description in RNAcentral is "bacterial SSU rRNA". It matches the Rfam family "Bacterial small subunit ribosomal RNA", at positions 55 to 851 of the family's 1533-position model. Lineage: Bacteria; Bacillati; Cyanobacteriota. The record is from RNAcentral.